UACGUAGGCAGCGAGCGUUGUUCGGAGUUCCUUGGCGUAAAGGGUGCGUAGGCGGUUUUCCAAGUUUGGUGUGAAAUCUCCCGGCUUAACUGGGAGGGUGCGCCGAAAACUAGGAGACUUGAGUACCGGAGAGGUAAGCGGAAUUCCUGGUGUAGCGGUGAAAUGCGUAGAGAUCAGGAGGAACACCUGUGGUGUAGACAGCUUACUGGACGGUCACUGACGCUGAGGCACGAAAGCGUGGGUAGCAAACAGG
Molecule: ribosomal RNA, 253 nt
Filed under: uncultured bacterium
Lineage: Bacteria
Description: partial 16S ribosomal RNA
Rfam family: Bacterial small subunit ribosomal RNA
Source: RNAcentral